GGGCCCGCACAAGCGGUGGAGCAUGUGGUUUAAUUCGAUGAUACGCGAGGAACCUUACCAGGGCUUAAAUGUAAGUUGCAUAAACUAGAGAUAGUUUUUUCUUCGGACUACUUACAAGGUGCUGCAUGGUUGUCGUCAGCUCGUGCCGUGAGGUGUCAGGUUAAGUCCUAUAACGAGCGCAACCCCUAUCGUUAGUUGCCAACAGGUUAAGCUGGGAACUCUAACGAGACUGCCGGUGCAAACCGCGAGGAAGGUGGGGAUGACGUCAAAUCAUCACGGCCCUUACGUCCUGGCUACACACGUGCUACAAUGGCCGGUACAGAGAGCAGCCACUCCGCGAGGAGGAGCGAA
This 351-nucleotide ribosomal RNA is filed under the name uncultured bacterium. RNAcentral's name for it is "bacterial SSU rRNA". It matches the Rfam family "Bacterial small subunit ribosomal RNA", at positions 917 to 1271 of the family's 1533-position model. The record is from RNAcentral.